RNAcentral lists this ribosomal RNA (253 nucleotides) under uncultured bacterium. Its description in RNAcentral is "partial 16S ribosomal RNA". It matches the Rfam family "Bacterial small subunit ribosomal RNA", at positions 524 to 776 of the family's 1533-position model. The record is from RNAcentral.
UACGAAGGGGGCUAGCGUUGCUCGGAAUUACUGGGCGUAAAGGGCGCGUAGGCGGACAGUUUAGUCAGAGGUGAGAGCCCAGGGCUCAACCUUGGAAUUGCCUUUGAUACUGGCUGUCUUGAGUUCGGGAGAGGUGAGUGGAAUGCCGAGUGUAGAGGUGAAAUUCGUAGAUAUUCGGCGGAACACCAGUGGCGAAGGCGACUCACUGGCCCGAUACUGACGCUGAGGCGCGAAAGCGUGGGGAGCAAACAGG